RNAcentral lists this small RNA (78 nucleotides) under Flavobacterium sp. TAB 87. Its description in RNAcentral is "Flavo-1 RNA". It matches the Rfam family "Flavo-1 RNA". Lineage: Bacteria; Pseudomonadati; Bacteroidota; Flavobacteriia; Flavobacteriales; Flavobacteriaceae. The record is from Rfam by way of RNAcentral.
CCCUAGCCCUGAUAGCAGCGAAAUCCUUUUUGACCGCCCUAGCGGAUAAAAAGAUUGGAGUGAAUAGCAGGAAUAGCU